AUACGUAGGUGACAAGCGUUAUCCGGAUUUACUGGGCGUAAAGGGCGUGUAGGCGGUCUUGCAAGUCAGAAGUGAAAUUCCUGAGCUCAACUCGGGCGCUGCUUCUGAAACUGCAGGACUUGAGUGCUGGAGGGGAUAGCGGAAUUCCUAGUGGAGCGGUAAAAUGCGCAGAUAUUAGGAAGAACACCGGUGGCGAAGGCGGUUAUCUGGACAGUAACUGACGCUGAGGCGCGAAAGCGUGGGGAGCAAACAGGAUUGGAUACCCUGAUAUCCCACGCCGUAAACGAUGAAUACUAGGUGUAGGGGGUAUCGACUCCCUCUGUGCCGCAGUUAACACAAUAAGUAUUCCGCCUGGGGAGUACGGCCGCAAGGUUGAAACUCAAAGGAAUUGACGGGG
This 397-nucleotide ribosomal RNA is filed under the name uncultured bacterium. RNAcentral's name for it is "partial 16S ribosomal RNA". It matches the Rfam family "Bacterial small subunit ribosomal RNA", at positions 523 to 918 of the family's 1533-position model. The record is from RNAcentral.